Long non-coding RNA from Sceloporus undulatus (fence lizard), 987 nucleotides. RefSeq lists it as uncharacterized. The transcript has 2 exons. The record is from RefSeq and is a predicted model, not a curated record. NCBI's taxonomy places the organism in Eukaryota, Metazoa, Chordata, Lepidosauria, Squamata, Phrynosomatidae.
UGGCUAUCAUUGUUUUCCUGCUCUGCCGGAAGAAUGACCAGCCCUGCAGAAGGGCCCCAGACACCCCGCUUCCUCCUCAGGACCCUGAUAAGAGGGAAGAGACCCUCGCCCUGCGCUGUUCGGAGGAGACCUGAUGCCAACUGGGGCUUGCAAGCCAUGCCAUGACAGUCUAGGCACUGGACCACUUUGUUAUGUGCUGUGUGCAGGGGGUGGCAGAUGUACAGAAUUUGUACCAUAAUAUAUGUAUGUGUAUAUAUAUGUGUGUCUGUGUGCGUGUUUGUAUGUAUAUAUGUAGGUAUGGGUGUUUGCGUGCGCAUGUGUGUGUAUGUAUCUGGGUCUGAAAGUUCCUGGGCUUGGAAUUGGGGCGCCUGCCUCUCCCGCCUUUGCCCCCACUUCUGCUGUUUGUCCGACUCUCUCUCGCUGGCUUUGUGCGGAGAAAGGCAAACCACUGUCUCCUCCUUUGGAGGAUUUGUUUUAGCAGAGGCUGGCCCUCUGUCCCAAGAAGAGCUUGGACUGGGUCUUCCUGCAUGGCAGAAGGGGCUGGAGGGAUGGCCCUCCUGGGGUCCCUUCCAACUCUGUGUUUCUAUGAUGCUAUUUAUAUCAAAAGAUGACAAAACACUCCCUGCCUUUGUGAGAUUGGUGACUGCGGGUGCCAUGCCUCCAGAGCAUCUUUGAUGCUCUUGAGACAUAUACGUAGUUGAGAUGAUAUUAGCUUUUCUAUGUAUUAGUUUAGAAGGGGAAAUAGAGAUCUACAGCUUUAAGAAAGGCAAGGAUUGUGGGACAUCCCAGGGUCUCUUACUGUCUCUCUCCAGCUAGUUUCUGUUGUGUAGUAAGGUUUCAGCCAAGAGUAUUUUCCUUUGACAAAGAGAAGUCCUCAGAAGAAGAAAGGUAAAACCCACCAAGUAGAAAGAGCAAGGUAUUUAGGAAAAAAGGAGAUCACUUUCGUGUUUGUUGUCUUUAUAACCAGUAAAGCUUUUGGAAACUUAA